GUGGAUUUUGCAAAAGGUGGGGAAAGCAACCAGAGAGAGAGAGAGUCAUUGCCAGCAGCCAAGUUAAAAGAAGCAUCAGCACCACCCUGCCUGACCUGGCCCAACAGAUAGAUACUAAGAUGCCAUGUUCUACUGUGACAAGGGAGCCAUGCUAUCUGGAGUUAACUUAGGACCAAAGUGGUAUGGUGCAAGUAUAUCCCUACUUCAGGAGAGAAUAAUCCACAAAGACCCAUAUAGGAGGGGGGAAUCCCUAUCCAAACUCACUUGCACUGGGAGGAAAAAGGCUCUUCUAGGAAAUGAGGGUAAUAUAAAACAAAAGACAUCAAUAAAAACAACUUUAAAAGAAAAAAGGCCCAUCGUUUAAACACAACCAUUCUUUCUUUGAUACCUUAAAAUAAUGAGGAGCAACCUCUGAAGAUUUAAAGUUGUGGGUAUCCCAACAUGGAAAGACACAUGGAGGGCAUGAAUAGACUGUGGCAAACAGGGAAGAUUUGCACAGAAGUGGCAUGAAGAAUAUUCAUAGGAAGAUAUAUGAGCAAAAGAAGAGUUUUGUAGGCAUGUACUCCCCUGUAAUCAACACAAGAAGGGAUGUUCCAGGAUGACCUCUAGGAGGUCACUUUGGGGUUCUAUUUGUCCAAGGGUUUUUCCAGAUUGGAUUUAUUGUUAAUAACGAAAAAUGACCUCAAGAUUUAUAAAAAAUACCUUACAGACAUUAUGUACCCUGUGAAUUGGUGGAAUAGAUAUAAUAACCCAUAUUUUAUAGAUAAGAAAACUGAAGCUCAAUAAGGUUAUUGACUUCCCUUUGAUCAUGUAACCAAUAUGUGUCAGAGGGAGGUUUAAAUUUAAGUUAUUCUGAACUCCCA
RNAcentral lists this long non-coding RNA (863 nucleotides) under Monodelphis domestica (gray short-tailed opossum). RNAcentral's name for it is "lncRNA (ENSMODG00000041747.1)". Lineage: Eukaryota; Metazoa; Chordata; Mammalia; Didelphimorphia; Didelphidae. The record is from RNAcentral.